Molecule: ribosomal RNA, 516 nt
Filed under: uncultured bacterium
Lineage: Bacteria
Description: bacterial SSU rRNA
Rfam family: Bacterial small subunit ribosomal RNA
Source: RNAcentral
UAGUCCACGCCCUAAACGAUGAAUACUCGAUGUUGGCGAUAUACAGUCAGCGUCUAAGGGAAACCGAUAAGUAUUCCACCUGGGGAGUACGUCCGCAAGGAUGAAACUCAAAGAAAUUGGCGGGGGUCCGCACAAGCGGUGGAUUAUGUGGUUUAAUUCGAUGAUACGCGAGGAACCUUACCUAGGCUAUAAUGUGAGCGCUAUCUGGUGAAAGCCGGAGUUCCUUCGGGACGCGAAACAAGGUGCUGCAUGGUUGUCGUCAGCUCGUGCCGUGAGGUGUUGGGUUAAGUCCCGCAACGAGCGCAACCCCUAUUGUUAGUUGCCAGCGAGUAAUGUCGGGGACUCUAACGAGACUGCCCGCGUAAGCGGAGAGGAAGGUGGGGACGACGUCAAAUCAUCAUGGCCUUUAUGCCUAGGGCUACACACGUGCUACAAUGGCAGGUACAGAGGGUUGCGAAGGGGUGACCUGGAGCUAAUCUCAGAAAGCCUGUCCCAGUUCGGAUUGGAGUCUGCAAC